Molecule: long non-coding RNA, 1509 nt
Organism: Bos grunniens (domestic yak)
Lineage: Eukaryota; Metazoa; Chordata; Mammalia; Artiodactyla; Bovidae
Source: Ensembl
AAAAAUAAGUGUUUGCUGAAUAAACUGACUUUGCCAAGGGGGUGGUGCUUCCAGCAGAGGCUGCAGCCUGGGGAACGUGCCUGGUAGACGUCCAACCAUAGGGACCUUGGCAGCCGUCCAGCCACGGACCAAGGCCCCGCUCACGGUAUCCAGACCGCCCUGCCUGCACCUCUUCCCCUGUGCUUGUCACUCUGUGUAUGGAAAUCUGUUUCCGACUGUCUGUUUUUCUCCCCAAUUUGAAACUCCUGGGAGACAAGUCUGUGUUCUGGUUAUUGUAGCAAUGGUAUUUCUUAAUGAAUAAGCAAGUCUUCUAAUGAUGGUGCUACUAAACACCAAUCACUCCCUCACUUUGCAGCCCUCCUGGUUGACUUCAUGUCAUUUCAAAGGUGAUGCCUUCAGCUGUGGGCUCUCUCCAACCAGCUCCCAGAGGGUAAACCCUCUGUCUCCUCUCUCUGUGCCUUUUCAUGGGCCACCAGGUACUGAUCUACACUCUCCAAGGGCCAUCCCGAGACCAUUGAAUGAAAUGAGUGCACGAUCUGCAGUAGGUCAUUACUGACUAACGGGUUUUUAUUCCUUCCUCGGUUGCCAGGAUGAUGCAGUAGUGACUGCCUGCUGCAGAAGGCUUUCAUCUGCUAAAUGACUCCCAGCAUGUCUGCUGAAAAUCCUGAGCCAUCAGGAACACCACUUCCUCACCCUUCCACAACUUUCCACCACGACACGCAGACCUUCUCCUCGAAGGAAGAAGGAUUAUCGGGGCCAUAAGGAUCUGCCGAAGAAAGAGCUCCUGGAAGGGAAAAUGUUUCUGUAUGAGAAGUUUCUGGAAGCAGACUUCAAGGCUCAUUCUUCACAAACCCUGCCUGGUCUUAGAGCAAGCAGGCCUCUUCUCGAGGACACGAUGCCAUCUACAUCAUUUGUGAAGCACGAGGGAGAGUUUCUGCCCUCCCAGGACCAGAGUACACAGACGGAGUGGAUUUAUGAAAGCAAGAUGGUACUUUCAAAAUCAAGAUCUCUAAGAGAGGAAGAAUCAACAAUGACGCUGGCCACCUUCAAGUCUGAGUCACAAGCCUUUGUUCCCAGUGAAGAACCCCAAAUGGCAGAAAACGGUGAGUCCCACAGAACCUAACCAAAGAUUCCUGCUCCCUGUGGAGUGUCUGGGAAUGGUGCCCCCCGGGUGAGCGGGUGCCUUGCUGGUCUGGCCAGUGCUGAGUCCUAGAGAAAAUCGAGGGAAGUGCUGGGCACACAGUCCACGAACCUGGAUGUGCUUCCCUGCCCUUAACUGAAAAGGGGAGAUAGAAAGAGGGUCUUGGAGGUGAGAAAGAAUGGCCUGGGAACAGCCCAGAAGUCCAUCUCUCUCUACCCAAGGUCUGUAUAGGGACACCCACAUUUCAAGAGAGGCCAGCCAGUCAAUUACUAGCUUCUCUGAAGUCUGGGCAGCAGGGCUUAACUGGGAUGCAUGGGUCCUUCCAGACAGACUCAUUCCAUGGCACUUUGGCAGGGAAUGAAUUAGAG